GACGAACGCUGGCGGCGUGCUUAACACAUGCAAGUCGAACGGAAAGGCCCUGCUUUUGUGGGGUGCUCGAGUGGCGAACGGGUGAGUAACACGUGAGUAACCUGCCCUUGACUUUGGGAUAACUUCAGGAAACUGGGGCUAAUACCGGAUAGGAGCUCUUGCUGCAUGGUGGGGGUUGGAUAGUUUCGGCGGUUGGGGAUGGACUCGCGGCUUAUCAGCUUGUUGGUGGGGUAGUGGCUUACCAAGGCUUUGACGGGUAGCAGGCCUGGGAGGGUAACCGGCCCCAUUAGGACUGAGAUACGGCCCGGACUCGAACGGGAGGCAGCGGUGGGGAAUAGUGCACAGUGGGCGGGAGCCUGAUGCAGCACCGCCGCGUGCGGGAUGACGGCCUGCGGGUUGUGAACCGCUUUCGCUUGUGACGAAGCGAGAGUGACGGUAAUGGGUAAAGAAGCACCGGCUAACUACGUG
RNAcentral lists this ribosomal RNA (468 nucleotides) under uncultured bacterium. Its description in RNAcentral is "partial 16S ribosomal RNA". It matches the Rfam family "Bacterial small subunit ribosomal RNA", at positions 28 to 507 of the family's 1533-position model. The record is from RNAcentral.